CCCUUAGAUGUCCGGGGCUGCACGCGCGCUACACUGAAGGAAUCAGCGUGCUAAAACCAAUGUCGAAAGGCAUUGGUAAACCCAUUAAAAUCCUACGUGAUUGGGAUCGGGAAUUGCAAUUAUUUCCCUUGAACGAGGAAUUCCCAGUAAGUGUGGGUCAUAAGCUCGCGUUGAUUACGUCCCUGCCCUUUGUACACACCGCCCGUCGCUGCCCGGGACUGAGCCGUUUCGAGAAAAGCGGGGACUGCUGCUGUCGGGGCUUUCGGGCCUUGGCUUCGGUGGAAACCGCUUUAAUCGCAGUGGCUUGAACCGGGCAAAAGUCGUAACA
This 328-nucleotide ribosomal RNA is filed under the name uncultured eukaryote. RNAcentral's name for it is "partial 18S ribosomal RNA". It matches the Rfam family "Eukaryotic small subunit ribosomal RNA", at positions 1470 to 1796 of the family's 1831-position model. The record is from RNAcentral.